Molecule: long non-coding RNA, 1387 nt
Organism: Gossypium raimondii (Peruvian cotton)
Lineage: Eukaryota; Viridiplantae; Streptophyta; Magnoliopsida; Malvales; Malvaceae
Exons: 2
Source: RefSeq, a predicted model, not a curated record
CAGUCACAUGGCAAAAUUGUUGUGGCGGAUUAGUGACAUUUUACCAAGUCUUUGGUUUCUAAAUUAAUUUUUUUAUGUACGGUUGGACUUCCCAUAGCCGAAUUGGGCUCUUUACUCACUAGUGGAUGGUUUGGGCUUCAAAUUUAGCACCAGGCUUCUCCACUUCAGUGGUCCAACUGCAAGCUGGGUCAAAAUUAAUCUAAGAGUCCAACAGAUGGAUUUAGGACAUCCAUGUUGAUCAACCAUCAACCCACAUGUUCAUGGCCUCUGCUACAAGAAUGCUACAACAUCGAGUAUUGAAUAGGGACUAUCCAUGAGCAAGGAUAAGGGCGAACAAAAAGUGGUGUGGGCUCGACAAUCAGCGGCAAACCACAGAUGAGUGUUCUUGUAUAACUCACUUAAACACUGGUUCACAUGUUCAAGAAAGUCUAUGUAAGGCAUUCAAACCUUGUAACAAUUUCGUCUGAGCCCUGCUAUAUGUUAUGCUAGCUUUAAUUUAUGAUCUACAAACCUUGUUACAAUGUGUGUAAGGUUUACAUAUUUUAUGUGAGCCUAUAAUAUGCAAACACAAUAAAAGUAUUGUGUGAACCAUAUAAAUGUAUUGUACGAACCCUAUAAAUGUAUUGUACGAACUCUAUAAAAGUGAGUGACCUUAUAAGUGUGUGACCUUAGAUAUGUCAUGUGAACAGUAGUAUCAUGCGAGCCUAUAUAUUGUGCAAGCCCACAUGUGAUACAUGCGAACCCUGCUUUCAAAUAUUUUAUGCGAGUUGAACGUUUUAUGCGAGCUUAAAUAUUUCAUGUAAGCUUAACUAUUUAUGUGAGCCGAAUGUUUUAUACAAUCUUAAAUGUUUCAUGUAAGCUUAAAUGUGUUAUGUUUGAACCCAUGUAAUAUAAGUGAAUCCAUGUUUUUGCAAGCUCUGUUGUAUUCUGAGCCGUAUUAUACUAUGUAUUGUGAAUGUCAUGAAAACAAAUCAUAUGUUGGUAUUGUGAAUGCUUGAAACCGCUAAAUAUCAUUGGCAUGCCAUAGGAUUGUGAGUACUCACCCUUUCUACUCUAUGUUAUGGUAUUGUAGCUCAGAGAUAUUGUUGGAGAGAAAAGGGAAUGUUGAGCAUAGCUCCAUUCACCAUAGAUUCCAUGGUGUGUUUGAAGAGUGUGAACAUUCGUGCUACACUUAUAUGGAGAUAGUGUUCGACUCCUUGAGUCAUAUGGAGUGUUUUGGAGAUCCACUUAUCCAAUUGUGUCAUGUGAUUACGUGGAAGAGUAUACAGUCGUACAAGUAAUAAGUAGUAAGUAAAGAGUAUCAUUUCCACAAGAACUAUUGUGUGUAUUAUUUUGAAAGUCAAGUUUAAUCAAUUUUGAAGGAACAAAUAAAAGAGAAUAUUGUUGA